CAUCGACUGUUCUUCCUCUCAUCUACGCAGCAUCCGAUUAUCCUUACAGCCAGUGGUGAAUCCUCCGUCUUAUAAGGCUCAGCACCAUCAUAACCCAGCCCACACCUCGUGGCAGAGGAAUCCUCACUGAGCCACCAGCCUCUAACCUCUCCAUGCCAUCGUAUGACAUCAUAUGACACCUGUGUCAAGCCUCAGAAACUCUUUCAAGGAGCCCUGGCUAGGCAGUUAAGAAGGCGCCACCGCCGGGCCUUCCUGUGCAGGAGGUCAUUUCAAUGAGGACUCGGAGCUUCGUCAACGGAGAAAAGAAGGUCACUCUCAGACAGGAUGUAGGGAAGACGUCCUGAGUGAGCCUUGCUGGGCAAGAGACGCCGAGGGGACCAAGAAUGUGGGCCAGUCCCCCAGGAAGUUAUUCAUGAGCCUGCACUGCAGGAUAAACAGCCAACCAAAGUCUUU
Molecule: long non-coding RNA, 453 nt
Filed under: Bos indicus x Bos taurus (hybrid cattle)
Lineage: Eukaryota; Metazoa; Chordata; Mammalia; Artiodactyla; Bovidae
Description: lncRNA (ENSBIXG00005004828.1)
Source: RNAcentral